Molecule: long non-coding RNA, 1315 nt
Filed under: Capsicum annuum
Lineage: Eukaryota; Viridiplantae; Streptophyta; Magnoliopsida; Solanales; Solanaceae
Description: long non-coding RNA (CANN_LNC009418)
Source: RNAcentral
ACACAAACACAAACCAAAUCAAAUUCAAAAUAUAAUGUUAAGUCCAAUUAUACAGUCCAAAGUAAAAAAAUGCAAAAAAAUAAAUCCUAUUCUAACAUAUACUAAACUAUGCUCCAACGUUUUACCCGCGGCCUUGGGCCUUCAUUACGAACAUCCUCCGGAUACAAAAAUACCUUGGGGCAUUCCCCGGCCAAAUGAUACAAGUGAUCCCAAAGCAAUAUAGUCAAAAACCAUUCAAUCACACCACUCAAGUAUUCCAUCAAUCCACAAUCCCUAAAUUUGUCUACCCGACCUAUGUUUACCUAUCUGAGCUUGAUCCCAUUCAUGUAUAUCCCGAAUUGAACAAAACGACAACCGAUCAAAAUUUAACUACGCAACUUUUAUCAAAUUUUGAUUCCACCCCAAAUCCAUUUUUAACCACAUGAUUAAAGCAUGCUUCAAUUAUCCAAUCACGUCUCAAAAUCCGAAACUAAUAUCAAAUACAAAAAACUAAUGAAGAUUCGAACUAAGCACACAACACAUAAAUCACACACACCCAUAACAUCAAUAAAAAAUCAAGAUAAAGUAAAGAUUAGGAGAAGAAAUGGACCUCAAUGAAACUUUUCCUUGUUGAUAAUAAAAAAAUCCAAAAUCAAAAUCCUCAAACCGGAACCUCAACACGAAUCUCCAAAUCAAAUUUCAAAUUCGAAAUUGACAGCGAUGGACCGAUUGAGUUGAACAAAGUUCCAAUCCACGAAUACUAACCAUUUAAUCGUGAAGACCCCAAAAUCCGAUAUUUAAAACGAACUGCGAGAAUAGACUAACCUAAAACCAAGUCAACACGAUAGAAGAACAAAAUCCGUGAACCCUGAGCUCCGGUGAGCUCAGGCGGUGGCAAAAAAAUGAUGAGUCAAGACGGAUUCUGGCGAGUCCCAACGUUUUCUGGCCGGGUUUGCCCAUUUUCAAUCACUUCCCCCUUUCUGCUAUGUCCCUCGCAUCUCUUUUCUCUACCUAACACUCUCUCGAUUUGGAUUCUCUGAUCUCUCUCCCUGUCCGUUCCAAUCUCUCCCUAAAAAUAGAAAAUUUGGCGUUUGUGCGUGUAUGUAUAUUACUGUGUGCGUGAGUCUACUCCCUCCUAAGUAACCAUGGAACAAUUGAGGUGAGGGUCAUGAUUUUUGUGGUAAGGUUGAGUGGUGUUUUACGUACCAAUUCCAAGAAAUGGAGUGUUCCUUCAGAUGAUGAAGAAGAGGCAACCCCCGCCAAAAAAAAAAAAAUCCCCUCUAUGUUCUCGUUAAUAAAGGUGUAUGUGUACAAGAGAAUGGUUAUGAUGAUGUGG